CCUACGGGGGGCAGCAGUGAGGAAUAUUGGUCAAUGGGCGAGAGCCUGAACCAGCCAAGUCGCGUGAGGGAGUACUGCCCUAUGGGUUGUAAACCUCUUUUGUCGGGGAGCAAAAGCCGGACGUGUCCGGCUGUGAGAGUACCCGACGAAAAAGCAUCGGCUAACUCCGUGCCAGCAGCCGCGGUAAUACGGAGGAUGCGAGCGUUAUCCGGAUUUAUUGGGUUUAAAGGGUGCGCAGGCGGAUUUUUAAGUCAGCGGUAAAAUCGUGGGGCUCAACCCCAUCCAGCCGUUGAAACUGGGGAUCUAGAGUGUGCGAGAGGUAUGCGGAAUGCGUGGUGUAGCGGUGAAAUGCAUAGAUAUCACGCAGAACCCCGAUUGCGAAGGCAGCAUACCGGUGCACAACUGACGCUCAGGCACGAAAGCGUGGGUAUCGAACAGGAUUAGAUACCCCUGUAGUC
Molecule: ribosomal RNA, 458 nt
Filed under: uncultured bacterium
Lineage: Bacteria
Description: partial 16S ribosomal RNA
Rfam family: Bacterial small subunit ribosomal RNA
Source: RNAcentral